Long non-coding RNA from Populus euphratica (Euphrates poplar), 325 nucleotides. RefSeq lists it as uncharacterized. The record is from RefSeq and is a predicted model, not a curated record. The transcript has 2 exons. NCBI's taxonomy places the organism in Eukaryota, Viridiplantae, Streptophyta, Magnoliopsida, Malpighiales, Salicaceae.
UGCUUGUUAUCUCUAUAAAAAUCAACCUGGGGCAAUAACAUAUUACACCAACAAUUAACUCUACUUGGGUUUGAAUCUGCGGCCUAAGGAACCUCGCUGCAGGUGGGUUCAGUACCAUAUGGAGCCAUGCAGCUCCCCAGGAAAGAAUAAACAUGUAAGAUUCACAAGGAAUUGCCAACGACUGGGUUAGUGGAUUCCAUGCUAUGCUUGCCAGGUGAGUAGUCUUUUGCAGAUUAGCCUUUGUUUCGUUGUCUGUUCGACCUUGAACACAUGGAUAUGGUUAGGACUAUUCAUUAAUUAAAAUUAAACCCUGAUUAGCUCAGAA